AUACGGAGGAUCCGAGCGUUAUCCGGAUUUAUUGGGUUUAAAGGGUGCGCAGGCGGGAGAUUAAGUCGGCGGUGAAAUUUUUCAGCUCAACUGUAAAAGUGCCUUCGAAACUGGGUUCCUUGAGUGUAGAUGAAGUAGGUGGGAUUUGUGGUGUAGGGGUGAAAUGCAUAGAUAUCACGAGGAACUCCGAUUGCGCAGGCAGCUUACUAAACUACUACUGACGCUCAGGCACGAAGGCGUGGGGAUCAAACAGGAUUAGAUACCCUGGUAGUCCACGCAGUAAACGAUGAUUACUAGCUGUUUGCGAUACAAUGUAAGCGGCUGAGCGAAAGCGUUAAGUAAUCCACCUGGGGAGUACGUUCGCAAGAAUGAAACUCAAAGGAAUUGGCGGGG
This 393-nucleotide ribosomal RNA is filed under the name uncultured bacterium. RNAcentral's name for it is "partial 16S ribosomal RNA". It matches the Rfam family "Bacterial small subunit ribosomal RNA", at positions 523 to 918 of the family's 1533-position model. The record is from RNAcentral.